This 1372-nucleotide ribosomal RNA is filed under the name uncultured bacterium. Its description in RNAcentral is "bacterial SSU rRNA". It matches the Rfam family "Bacterial small subunit ribosomal RNA", at positions 28 to 1381 of the family's 1533-position model. The record is from RNAcentral.
GAUGAACGCUGGCGGCGUGCCUAAUACAUGCAAGUCGAGCGAACGGACGAGAAGCUUGCUUCUCUGAUGUUAGCGGCGGACGGGUGAGUAACACGUGGAUAACCUACCUAUAAGACUGGGAUAACUUCGGGAAACCGUAGCUAAUACCGGAUAAUAUUUUGAACCGCAUGGUUCAAAAGUGAAAGACGGUCUUGCUGUCACUUAUAGAUGGAUCCGCGCUGCAUUAGCUAGUUGGUAAGGUAACGGCUUACCAAGGCAACGAUGCAUAGCCGACCUGAGAGGGUGAUCGGCCACACUGGAACUGAGACACGGUCCAGACUCCUACGGGAGGCAGCAGUAGGGAAUCUUCCGCAAUGGGCGAAAGCCUGACGGAGCAACGCCGCGUGAGUGAUGAAGGUCUUCGGAUCGUAAAACUCUGUUAUUAGGGAAGAACAUAUGUGUAAGUAACUGUGCACAUCUUGACGGUACCUAAUCAGAAAGCCACGGCUAACUACGUGCCAGCAGCCGCGGUAAUACGUAGGUGGCAAGCGUUAUCCGGAAUUAUUGGGCGUAAAGCGCGCGUAGGCGGUUUUUUAAGUCUGAUGUGAAAGCCCACGGCUCAUCCGUGGAGGGUCAUUGGAAACUGGAAAACUUGAGUGCAGAAGAGGAAAGUGGAAUUCCAUGUGUAGCGGUGAAAUGCGCAGAGAUAUGGAGGAACACCAGUGGCGAAGGCGACUUUCUGGUCUGUAACUGACGCUGAUGUGCGAAAGCGUGGGGAUCAAACAGGAUUAGAUACCCUGGUAGUCCACGCCGUAAACGAUGAGUGCUAAGUGUUAGGGGGUUUCCGCCCCUUAGUGCUGCAGCUAACGCAUUAAGCACUCCGCCUGGGGAGUACGACCGCAAGGUUGAAACUCAAAGGAAUUGACGGGGACCCGCACAAGCGGUGGAGCAUGUGGUUUAAUUCGAAGCAACGCGAAGAACCUUACCAAAUCUUGACAUCCUUUGACAACUCUAGAGAUAGAGCCUUCCCCUUCGGGGGACAAAGUGACAGGUGGUGCAUGGUUGUCGUCAGCUCGUGUCGUGAGAUGUUGGGUUAAGUCCCGCAACGAGCGCAACCCUUAAGCUUAGUUGCCAUCAUUAAGUUGGGCACUCUAAGUUGACUGCCGGUGACAAACCGGAGGAAGGUGGGGAUGACGUCAAAUCAUCAUGCCCCUUAUGAUUUGGGCUACACACGUGCUACAAUGGACAAUACAAAGGGCAGCGAAACCGCGAGGUCAAGCAAAUCCCAUAAAGUUGUUCUCAGUUCGGAUUGUAGUCUGCAACUCGACUACAUGAAGCUGGAAUCGCUAGUAAUCGUAGAUCAGCAUGCUACGGUGAAUACGUUCCCGGGUCU